RNAcentral lists this long non-coding RNA (254 nucleotides) under dengue virus type 3. Its description in RNAcentral is "Dengue virus type 3 partial sfRNA2". The stretch from base 77 to 148 matches the Rfam family "Flavivirus DB element". Lineage: Riboviria; Orthornavirae; Kitrinoviricota; Flasuviricetes; Amarillovirales; Flaviviridae. The record is from RNAcentral.
AAGAAGUCAGGCCCCAAAGCCACGGUUUGAGCAAACCGUGCUGCCUGUAGCUCCGUCGUGGGGACGUAAAAACCUGGGAGGCUGCAAACUGUGGAAGCUGUACGCACAGUGUAGCAGACUAGUGGUUAGAGGAGACCCCUCCCAUGACACAACGCAGCAGCGGGGCCCGAGCACUGAGGGAAGCUGUACCUCCUUGCAAAGGACUAGAGGUUAGAGGAGACCCCCCGCAAACAAAAACAGCAUCGUGAAGCUCA